This 921-nucleotide ribosomal RNA is filed under the name uncultured Candidatus Saccharibacteria bacterium. RNAcentral's name for it is "bacterial SSU rRNA". It matches the Rfam family "Bacterial small subunit ribosomal RNA", at positions 164 to 1111 of the family's 1533-position model. Lineage: Bacteria; Candidatus Saccharimonadota. The record is from RNAcentral.
UAAUACCGCAUGUGCUCUUCGGAGUAAAGCUUCGGCGGUUUGGGAACGGCCUGCGUAUGAUUAGCUUGUUGGUGAGGUAAUGGCUCACCAAGGCGACGAUCAUUAGCUGGUCUGAGAGGAUGAUCAGCCAGACUGGGACUGAGACACGGCCCAGACUCCUACGGGAGGCAGCAGUAGGGAAUUUUCCACAAUGGGCGAAAGCCUGAUGGAGCAACGCCGCGUGCAGGAUGAAGGCCUUAGGGUUGUAAACUGCUUUUAUCUGUGACGAUUUUGACGGUAGCAGAUGAAUAAGGAUCGGCUAACUCCGUGCCAGCAGCCGCGGUCAUACGGAGGAUCCAAGCGUUAUCCGGAAUUACCGGGCGUAAAGAGUUGCGUAGGUGGCAUAGUAAGUUAGAAGUGAAAUCGUGUGGCUCAGCCAUGCUCACAUUUCUAAAACUGCUAAGCUAGAGUAUAAGAGAGGUAGCUGGAAUUUCUAGUGUAGGAGUGAAAUCCGUAGAUAUUAGAAGGAACACCGAUGGCGUAGGCAGGCUACUGGCUUAUUACUGACACUAAGGCACGAAAGCGUGGGGAGCAAACGGGAUUAGAUACCCCGGUAGUCCACGCCGUAAACUAUGGAUGCUAGCUGUUAUUCGUAUCGACCCGAGUAGUAGCGAAGCUAACGCGUUAAGCAUCCCGCCUGUGGAGUACGAGCGCAAGCUUAAAACAUAAAGGAAUUGACGGGGACCCGCACAAGCGGUGGAGCGUGUUGUUUAAUUCGAUGGUAAGCGAAGAACCUUACCCAGGCUUGACAUCCUUGGAAUUUCUCCGAAAGGAGAAAGUGCUUUAUUGAACCAAGUGACAGGUGUUGCAUGGCCGUCGUCAGGCUCGUGUCGUGAGAUGUUUGGUUAAGGUCCAUCAAACGAGCGGCCAAACCCUUGUUAG